UGGGGAAUUUUGGACAAUGGGCGAAAGCCUGAUCCAGCAAUGCCGCGUGUGUGAAGAAGGCCUUCGGGUUGUAAAGCACUUUUGUCCGGAAAGAAAUCCUUGGCUCUAAUACAGUCGGGGGAUGACGGUACCGGAAGAAUAAGCACCGGCUAACUACGUGCCAGCAGCCGCGGUAAUACGUAGGGUGCAAGCGUUAAUCGGAAUUACUGGGCGUAAAGCGUGCGCAGGCGGUUUGCUAAGACCGAUGUGAAAUCCCCGGGCUCAACCUGGGAACUGCAUUGGUGACUGGCAGGCUAGAGUAUGGCAGAGGGGGGUAGAAUUCCACGUGUAGCAGUGAAAUGCGUAGAGAUGUGGAGGAAUACCGAUGGCGAAGGCAGCCCCCUGGGCCAAUACUGACGCUCAUGCACGAAAAGCGUGGGGGAGCAAAACAGGAUUAGAUACCCUGGUAGUCCACGCCCUAAAACGAUGUCAACUAGUUGUUGGGGAUUCAUUUCCUUAGUAACGUAGCUAACGCGUGAAGUUGACCGCCUGGGGAAUACGGUCGCAAGAUUAAAACUCAAAUGAAUUGACGGGGUCAUAGCUGUUUCCU
Molecule: ribosomal RNA, 589 nt
Filed under: uncultured bacterium
Lineage: Bacteria
Description: partial 16S ribosomal RNA
Rfam family: Bacterial small subunit ribosomal RNA
Source: RNAcentral